UACGGAGGGGGCUAGCGUUGUUCGGAAUUACUGGGCGUAAAGCGCACGUAGGCGGCUUUGUAAGUUAGAGGUGAAAGCCCAGGGCUUAACCCUGGAAUUGCCUUUAAGACUGCAUCGCUAGAAUUGUGGAGAGGUGAGUGGAAUUCCGAGUGUAGAGGUGAAAUUCGUAGAUAUUCGGAAGAACACCAGUGGCGAAGGCGACUCACUGGACACGUAUUGACGCUGAGGUGCGAAAGCGUGGGUAGCAAACAGG
This 253-nucleotide ribosomal RNA is filed under the name uncultured bacterium. Its description in RNAcentral is "partial 16S ribosomal RNA". It matches the Rfam family "Bacterial small subunit ribosomal RNA", at positions 524 to 776 of the family's 1533-position model. The record is from RNAcentral.